Molecule: unclassified non-coding RNA, 316 nt
Filed under: Hevea brasiliensis (rubber tree)
Lineage: Eukaryota; Viridiplantae; Streptophyta; Magnoliopsida; Malpighiales; Euphorbiaceae
Source: RNAcentral
AACUCAUCUUCCUCGAGAAUUUCUUCAUAAAUAUUUUCCUCCAUAUUUGUCAGUGAAGUUGGGAUCAUAGGUGAGAUAUUCCAAUCCAGGGUGAGAUGCAAAAUUUAAUCGCAGUAGGAAGAAAUAUACCAGGUAAACCUUAGCAAAAAGCCUGGAAAUGGAAAUACUUAACCAACACGGAUGGAACAACAAUUAGAAAACUUAAGUAAAAAUUAGUCAACAAGAUAGAUAGAUAGAUAAUAAAAGAGGAAAGGUCUAAAAGGAAGCACAUCAUCUCAGAUGGAAACAGUAGAGGAUCUUAAAUGGAAAAGGGACG